CGGGGUGCGUAACACGUGAGCAACCUGCCUCUUACAACGGGAUAACACAGAGAAAUUUGUGCUAAUACGGUAUGAGACUACGAGAUGGCAUCAUCUAGUGGUUAAAGUUCAGGCGGUAAGAGAGGGGCUCGCGGCCCAUUAGAUAGUUGGUGAGGUAACGGCUCACCAAGUCGACGAUGGGUAGCCGACCUGAGAGGGUGAUCGGCCACACUGGAACUGAGACACGGACCAGACUCCUACGGAAGGCAGCAG
RNAcentral lists this ribosomal RNA (252 nucleotides) under uncultured bacterium. Its description in RNAcentral is "partial 16S ribosomal RNA". It matches the Rfam family "Bacterial small subunit ribosomal RNA", at positions 100 to 354 of the family's 1533-position model. The record is from RNAcentral.